This 193-nucleotide ribosomal RNA is filed under the name Sphaerotheca rolandae (marbled sand frog). Its description in RNAcentral is "partial 12S ribosomal RNA". Lineage: Eukaryota; Metazoa; Chordata; Amphibia; Anura; Dicroglossidae. The record is from RNAcentral.
UCAGCUAGAACUCUACGUCCACAUUUACUCAAAGCGCUGGUCAACCACAACACUUCAACUCCACACCUUAAAGCUUUGACGACCUGGCGGCGCUUUAUAUCCCUCUGUAGGAGCCUGUUCGGUCCCCGAUAAACCCCGAUCCCUUUCACCACCUCUUGUGCAUACCAUAUACCGCCAUCUACAGCAAACAAGA